GUGCGAGAGAGAAGGAAUAGUUACAAGAGUUGAAUUAUGCAGGAGAGAACGGGUCAUAUGCAGACUUAUAUGCAGACUGUUUGAGCGGAUCAUUAGAUGGAGUUGAGAUAACAUUUUUGUUACUUGCAUUAGGAGUGACUUUUGUGGAUAGAUGGAGUUUAAAUUAUAAAUUGGAUGAUAAAUAUUAAGAAUAAAUACUAAGAGUUUUUUUCUUUUUUUUCCUGAAGAUGGCCCUAGAGGAGAUGAGAGCAACUCACAUUGUCAAUGAGUCCACAAAAAAGACCCCUGUCCUUGGACAACACUCACCAUGGUUCUGUCCUGCAAGACGGUUCAUCAGAAGCCCUUCAGCCAGAGUGGGAGGAGCAGCUCUCCCACCAGGUGUGCCCUCAAGGCAAAGGUGACUUACCUGCGCACACCUGCGAAGGCCUCACAGAAGGGAUGCAUGGCCACAGCUCUGGGGUUAUUAUGGAGAGGCAGUUAGGAAAGAUCUGAGGACAGGAAGUCACAGGCAAGAGGAAGCCACCCCACAGCAGCACCUCUGUGAAGGGGUUUGAUGCUUCAGUUCAAGAAGACAUCAUCGUAUUUCCUACAGGUAAGGGCAGGAUGUGCUCUUGGUGUCCCACUCAGAGUUGAGUAGCGGGCUGAGUGAGGAGCACCAGUCCACCUUGGGAACACUUAGCAGGUGGUUUCUUUCUCAGCGUUCUCUGGACCAAAUGGAGACACAGAAGUCUUCCUGAAACCGGGGACUGCUAAGUACAGUGCUACACUUGCCAUCUUCCUGUUCCCUUCACCCACUCCACAGUGCGGAAUUCACAUUUUAUAUUCAUUUCUUAUCUUUGCUUUCCAACCCCCAUCUCUUCUUAAAAAAAUAUUCAUGUCAUUAACAC
This 887-nucleotide long non-coding RNA is filed under the name Fukomys damarensis (Damara mole-rat). RNAcentral's name for it is "lncRNA (ENSFDAG00000030267.1)". The record is from RNAcentral. Lineage: Eukaryota; Metazoa; Chordata; Mammalia; Rodentia; Bathyergidae.